CAGAAAGAUUUUAAUAUAAAGGAAAUUUAAAGAUUAUACAUCACAUCGCAUAGAUGUAAUGACCACUAGAUGGUAGAUCUCAUGAGAGGAUAUGAGUAUGUUUUGUGUAGUCAAUAUAAUUCAAUGUUAAACUGUGUAAUAAUAAUGAGAUAUAAACAUUGUAAGCCAUUGUAUUGAUGCUGCACAUGUUAUUUGUUUUAAUGUAGGUAAAGCGUGACAGAUCCUUGUGGCAAUAAAUCAGGAAAGUAUUCCUUCAGACAACUGGACAUCGACUGUUGGAAAGAGACUUUUCAUCUGAUCUGCAAACUGUGAUGGAAGAUUCUACAGAGUUCAUUCGAUACAGAAGAUUAACAGACUUACAAAGAAAUAAAAGAUUGGCACUAACAUACAUAUAUAUUCCUAAAUAUUAAUGAAGAAAACAGACAAUGAAAAGUUAUUUAACAGUUAUGAGUAUUAAUACCAAGAGAGACUACUUAUAACUAUAUAACACAUG
This is a non-coding RNA of Pelobates cultripes (western spadefoot toad), 493 nucleotides long. Lineage: Eukaryota; Metazoa; Chordata; Amphibia; Anura; Pelobatidae. The record is from the annotation of a GenBank genome assembly.